CUUGUUCGGGUAGAGUGUCAAUGAUGUCAUACUUCCAAGAAAAGCUCGUACACCAUCUUUUUAAGAUAAAACCUUCAAAAAACCUGUACCUGAAACCGACACAGGUAGGUUGGUAGAGAAUACUAAGGGGCGCAAGAGAACUCUCUCUAAGGAACUCGGCAAAUUAGCCCCGUAACUUCGGAAGAAGGGGCGCCCAUGAUUUGAUUAAGGGCCGCAGUAUAAAGAGUCAGGCAACUGUUUACCAAAAACACAGGUCUCCGCAAAGUAGUAAUACAAUAUAUGGGGGCUGACGCCUGCCCAGUGCCGGAAGGUGAAGGAAGUUGGUUAUUUGGGUUUUCCCAGAGAAGCUGACGACCGAAGCCCCGGUGAACGGCAGCUGUAACUAUGACAGUUCUAAGGUAGCGAAAUUCAUUGUCGAGUAAGUUUCGACCUGCACGAAAGGCGUAAUGAUCUGACUACUGUCUCAGAGAGAGACUUGGUGAAAUAGACUUAUCCGUGAAGAUGCGGAUUAACAACAUUUGGACAGAAAGACCCUAUGAAGCUUGACUGUAUCCUGGAAUUGGGUUCGGGCCUUUCUUGCGCAGUCUAGGUGGGAGGCAUUGAAGAUUUCUUUCCGGAGGAAUUGGAGCCAUCAGUGAGAGACCACUCUGGAAAGGCUAGAAUCCUAAGAGUGAUCCCUUAUCGGGACAUUUGACGUUUUCAGGAAGGCAGUUUUUUUGGGGCGAAAGUCCUCCUAAAAGGUAACGGAGGCGCGCAAAGGUUUCCUCAGUCUGGACGGAAAUCAGACGUUACAGAGUGUAAAGGCAAAAGGAAGCUUGACUGCAAGACCUACAAGUCGAGCAGGGGCGAAAGCCGGCCUUAGUGAUCCGACGGUUUCCGUGUGGAAGGGCCGUCGCUCAACGGAUAAAAGUUACUCUAGGAUAACAGGCUGAUCUUCUCCAAGAGUUCACAUCGACGAGAAGGUUUGGCACCACGAUGUCGGCUCAUCACAUCCUGGGGCUGUAGUAGGUCCCAAGGGUUGGGCUGUUCGCCCAUUAAAGUGGUACGUGAGCUGGGUUCAAAACGUCGUAAGACAGUUUGGUCCAUAUCCGAUGUUGUCGUUAGAGCGCUGAGGGGACCCUUAAAUAGUACGAGAGGAUUUUUAAGGUCGUGCCUAUGGUGUAUCAGUUCUCUCUCCAGAGGGAAACGCUGAGUAGCUACGCACGGUUUAGAUAACCGCUGAAAGCAUCUAAGUGGGAAGCUUUCCUCAAGAUGAGCGCUCUCCAUUAUGCCGCAGCUAGACAAGCUGAUGAUAGGUAUCAGGUGAAAGGUCUGUAAGGAUUUGAGCCGAGAUAUACUAAAGGCCAA
This 1347-nucleotide ribosomal RNA is filed under the name metagenome. RNAcentral's name for it is "bacterial LSU rRNA". It matches the Rfam family "Bacterial large subunit ribosomal RNA", at positions 1546 to 2912 of the family's 2925-position model. The record is from RNAcentral.